This is a long non-coding RNA of Bombus pyrosoma, 536 nucleotides long. RefSeq lists it as uncharacterized. The record is from RefSeq and is a predicted model, not a curated record. The transcript is spliced from 3 exons. NCBI's taxonomy places the organism in Eukaryota, Metazoa, Arthropoda, Insecta, Hymenoptera, Apidae.
UAUACAUCAUAUUUGAUCAUUAUAAACACUUCUGUAAUUGAAUUAAAUAUAUUUUACAUGUAAUAAAUGUAAUAAAUUGAACGAUAACGCAAAGGACUGUACGGAAUUUGUUGUUACAUGAGUCAUGAACUGUUAUAACUGUAUACUAUACUGUCCUUUUCGGGAAUGUAUAUCAACUGCUCGAACUGCGAAGUGAUAAUUAUUUCCUUCAGAAAACUGCAAAAAGGAAGACAUUACAAAUAUCUAUGGAAUAUACUCUAGUUUUUAAACACAAUCUGUUCAAAUUACUUGCGUAAGUGUACACGCCAUAGGUAGUGGUAAAGCUCGAACAUCGCCUACUUUCUUCCACAAUGACGUGUUAGGAGGAACACCAGCAAUUUCCUGAUACGCAUACAACUGGUAUAAAUUUGCAAGUUGUAACAUACCAUGUGCAACUUUAGAAAUUUUUAAUGAUGGAGCUGGUGGUGAAAGUUUCCAAAGAGGAUUUACAGCAUAAUUACGCGUAUCUGGUAAGGGUGCUGGAUGCUGAAACAAAU